AGAGUUUGAUCCUGGCUCAGGAUGAACGCUAGCGGCAGGCUUAACACAUGCAAGUCGAGGGGCAGCGGGGAGGAAGCUUGCUUUCUCCGCCGGCGACCGGCGCACGGGUGAGUAACACGUAUGCAACCUGCCCCUGUCAGGGGGACAACCCGCCGAAAGGCGGGCUAAACCCGCGUACAUGCCACCGGGGCAUCCCGGAGGCAGGAAAGGCUUCGGCCGGACAGGGAUGGGCAUGCGGCGCAUUAGGCAGUAGGCGGGGUAACGGCCCACCUAACCGACGAUGCGUAGGGGUUCUGAGAGGAAGGUCCCCCACACUGGUACUGAGACACGGACCAGACUCCUACGGGAGGCAGCAGUGAGGAAUAUUGGUCAAUGGUCGGGAGACUGAACCAGCCAAGCCGCGUGAGGGAGGAAGGUACAGAGUAUCGUAAACCUCUUUUGUCAGGGAACAAAGGCGGGGACGUGUCCCCGGAUGAGUGUACCUGAAGAAAAAGCAUCGGCUAACUCCGUGCCAGCAGCCGCGGUAAUACGGAGGAUGCGAGCGUUAUCCGGAUUUAUUGGGUUUAAAGGGUGCGCAGGCGGUCUGUUAAGUCAGCGGUCAAAGCCCGGGGCUCAACCCCGGCCCGCCGUUGAAACUGGCAGUCUCGAGUUGGAGAGAAGUAUGCGGAAUGCGCGGUGUAGCGGUGAAAUGCAUAGAUAUCGCGCAGAACUCCGAUUGCGAAGGCAGCAUGCCGGCUCCACACUGACGCUGAGGCACGAAAGCGUGGGUAUCGAACAGGAUUAGAUACCCUGGUAGUCCACGCAGUAAACGAUGAAUGCUGGCUGUCCGGGGGGACUGACCCCUGGGUGGCGAAGCGAAAGCGAUAAGCAUUCCACCUGGGGAGUACGCCGGCAACGGUGAAACUCAAAGGAAUUGACGGGGGCCCGCACAAGCGGAGGAACAUGUGGUUUAAUUCGAUGAUACGCGAGGAACCUUACCCGGGCUCAAACGGGGAGUGGCGCAGGCAGAGACGCCUGUUUCCCACGGGACACUCCCCGAGGUGCUGCAUGGUUGUCGUCAGCUCGUGCCGUGAGGUGUCGGCUUAAGUGCCAUAACGAGCGCAACCCCCGCGUGCAGUUGCUAACAGUCAACGCUGAGGACUCUGCACGGACUGCCGGCGCAAGCUGCGAGGAAGGCGGGGAUGACGUCAAAUCAGCACGGCCCUUACGUCCGGGGCGACACACGUGUUACAAUGGCAGGUACAGAGAGAAGCCAUCCCGCGAGGGAGAGCGGAACUACAAAGCCUGUCUCAGUUCGGAUUGGAGUCUGCAACCCGACUCCAUGAAGCUGGAUUCGCUAGUAAUCGCGCAUCAGCCACGGCGCGGUGAAUACGUUCCCGGGCCUUGCACACACCGCCCGUCAAG
This 1404-nucleotide ribosomal RNA is filed under the name uncultured bacterium. RNAcentral's name for it is "bacterial SSU rRNA". It matches the Rfam family "Bacterial small subunit ribosomal RNA". The record is from RNAcentral.